UCAUACAAACAUAGUUUCACUCUUAUUUCCUAUUUUAACCGACUUCGAAAAAAGGAGGAGGUUUUCAAUUCAUCGGAAUCUUUUUUUUUAUGUAUGCUCCCCAAUUACUCUAAGACGCCUAGACCGAUUUGGAUUAUUUUUUGUUUGCAAGGGUAUACUUUGCAGGUGGUUCCAUAUAAAUUUGGUGAAGAUUUUAUGAAUACCUUCGGAGACGGAGAAUAGAACUCUUCAAUGGAUAAGAGUAAAUUGCUCGCGAUCAGUGUUAUAGCUUAGUAAACAGUAGGGUUUUAACUGGGCAUAUAGUACAGUGAGGCCACUAAAAAUUGUGA
Maniola jurtina (meadow brown) is the source of this 329-nucleotide long non-coding RNA. RefSeq lists it as uncharacterized. The record is from RefSeq and is a predicted model, not a curated record. The transcript is spliced from 3 exons. Lineage: Eukaryota; Metazoa; Arthropoda; Insecta; Lepidoptera; Nymphalidae.